CCAUACAGUGGGGGAUAACCAGAAGAAAUUCUGGCUAAUACCGCAUACGAAGCACAAUUUUGAAAGUAGUGCUUGAAAGGAUGCUUCGGCAUUCGCUGAAUGAUGGGCCUGCGUAGCAUUAGUUUGAUGGUGGGGUAACGGCCUACCAUGACUACGAUGCUUAGCUGGUCUGAGAGGAUGAUCAGCCACACUGGAACUGAGACACGGUCCAG
RNAcentral lists this ribosomal RNA (212 nucleotides) under uncultured bacterium. Its description in RNAcentral is "partial 16S ribosomal RNA". It matches the Rfam family "Bacterial small subunit ribosomal RNA", at positions 129 to 334 of the family's 1533-position model. The record is from RNAcentral.